UUGGAGGGCAAGUCUGGUGCCAGCAGCCGCGGUAAUUCCAGCUCCAAUAGCGUAUAUUAAAGUUGUUGCAGUUAAAAAGCUCGUAGUUGAAUUUCGGGAUCAAGGGAUCGGUCAUGCCUUGGUAUGCACUGGUCUUAUUGGUUCUCACCUUCUAAAGAACCAUGAUGUCAUUCAUUUGAUGUUAUGGGGAAUUAGGACUGUUACCUUGAAAAAAUUAGAGUGUUUAAAGCAAGCUUACGCUUGAAUACAUUAGCAUGGAAUAAUGAAAUAGGACAUCAGAUUCUAUUUUGUUGGUUUCUAGGAUCGAUGUAAUGAUUAAUAGGGAUAGUUGGGGGCAUUAGUAUUCAAUUGUCAGAGGUGAAAUUCUUGGAUUUAUUGAAGACUAACUACUGCGAAAGCAUUUGCCAAGGAUGUUUUCAUUAAUCAAGAACGAAAGUUAAGGGAUCGAAGACGAUCAGAUACCGUCGUAGUCUUAACCAUAAACUAUGCCGACUAGGAAUCAGGCGAUGUUAAUUUUUUAAUGACUCGUUUGGCACCUUACGGGAAACCAAAGUGUUUGGGUUC
Molecule: ribosomal RNA, 564 nt
Filed under: uncultured Glomeromycotina
Lineage: Eukaryota; Fungi; Glomeromycota
Description: SSU rRNA
Rfam family: Eukaryotic small subunit ribosomal RNA
Source: RNAcentral